Molecule: ribosomal RNA, 573 nt
Filed under: uncultured bacterium
Lineage: Bacteria
Description: bacterial SSU rRNA
Rfam family: Bacterial small subunit ribosomal RNA
Source: RNAcentral
UACUCCUACGGGAGGCAGCAGUUAGGAAUCUUCCGCAAUGGGCGCAAGCCUGACGGAGCGACGCCGCUUGGAGGAAGAAGCCCUUCGGGGUGUAAACUCCUGAACCCGGGACGAAACCCCCGACGAGGGGACUGACGGUACCGGGGUAAUAGCGCCGGCCAACUCCGUGCCAGCAGCCGCGGUAAUACGGAGGGCGCGAGCGUUACCCGGAUUCACUGGGCGUAAAGGGCGUGUAGGCGGCCUGGGGCGUCCCAUGUGAAAGACCACGGCUCAACCGUGGGGGAGCGUGGGAUACGCUCAGGCUAGACGGUGGGAGAGGGUGGUGGAAUUCCCGGAGUAGCGGUGAAAUGCGCAGAUACCGGGAGGAACGCCGAUGGCGAAGGCAGCCACCUGGUCCACCCGUGACGCUGAGGCGCGAAAGCGUGGGGAGCAAACCGGAUUAGAUACCCGGGUAGUCCACGCCCUAAACGAUGCGCGCUAGGUCUCUGGGUUUUCUGGGGGCCGAAGCUAACGCGUUAAGCGCGCCGCCUGGGGAGUACGGCCGCAAGGCUGAAACUCAAAGGAAUUGACGGA